AUAUGAAUCCCUCAUCACUAACGGGCUAACCUAUAUUACAAUAGGAGAAUUAAUGCUAGAAUGAGUAACCUGGGUCCUCCCUCUACGACGCAAGCUUACAUCCACACAUUAUUAACAAGUUCCCCAUAUACGACAAAUCCAACAAGCAGAGUAUUAAGUACCUUGUUAACCCGACAGAGGAGCGUCCGUUAAGAAAGAUUAAAACCUGUAAAAGGAACUAGGCAAACCCGUCAAGGCCCGACUGUUUACCAAAAACAUAGCCCUCAGCAAACCAAAGGACAAGUAUUGAGGGUGAUGCCUGCCCGGUGACUAAGUUCAACGGCCGCGGUAUCCUGACCGUGCAAAGGUAGCGCAAUCAAUUGUCCCGUAAAUCGGGACACGUAUGAAUGGCUAAACGAGGUCUUAACUGUCUCUUACAGGCGAUCGGUGAAAUUGAUCUCCCUGUGCGAAAGCAGGGAUAACCCCAUAAGACGAGAAGACCCUGUGGAACUUCAAAAACAGCAACCACCCCAAAACACAUGCACCCCCAAAGCACUGGUUUGCAUUUUUUCGGUUGGGGCGACCUUGGAGCAAAAAAGAACCUCCAAAAAUUGGACCACAACUCCAAACUAAGAGCCACCUCUCAAAGUGCGAACAGCACCCAGACCCAAUAUAAUUGAUCAAUGGACCAAGCUACCCCAGGGAUAACAGCGCAAUCUCCUCCGAGAGUCCAUAUCGAAGGGGAGGUUUACGACCUCGAUGUUGGAUCAGGACAUCCUAGUGGUGCAGCAGCUACUAAGGGUUCGUUUGUUCAACGAUUAACAGUCCUACGUGAUCUGAGUUCAGACCGGAGCAAUCCAGGUCGGUUUCUAUCUAUGAUGAACUCUUCCCCGUACGAAAGGAUAGGAAAAGUGAGGCCAAUACCACAAGCAAGCCUUCGCCUUAAGUAAUGAAGCCAACUCAAUUACAAAAGGCUAUCACCCUCCCCCACGUCCUAGAAAAGGACAUCA
Molecule: ribosomal RNA, 989 nt
Filed under: Certhilauda semitorquata algida
Lineage: Eukaryota; Metazoa; Chordata; Aves; Passeriformes; Alaudidae
Description: partial 16S ribosomal RNA
Rfam family: Archaeal large subunit ribosomal RNA
Source: RNAcentral